Molecule: non-coding RNA, 2943 nt
Organism: Stegostoma tigrinum
Lineage: Eukaryota; Metazoa; Chordata; Chondrichthyes; Orectolobiformes; Stegostomatidae
Source: the annotation of a RefSeq genome assembly
UUUAACACAAGCUCCUAUGACGUGUGUAUCCAUGGAUUACACAUUCCUGUUUCCUAGAGAGAAAUAUCUAAACAUUGACUCGGAUUAUCAGGGAAAAUGUCGAUUUCUGGGAGAAUAGAAGACAAAAGGUGGCAAUUCUGUUUCUGGGUAAUUUGCAGGAAUUGGUGUCCGCAAACAGGAAAAUGUGAAAACAUAUCAUUUAUAGAUACAUUUGGGAUAGGAUUAGGUUGAAAUUUCAGAUGUAAACGCAGGAAGUUGCUGCUCCAGGUUCCAACACAGUUUAUAUUUAUAUUCCCUGGGGAUUAUUAUAUACGGUGCUCAGGGUCAGUUAUUGUAUUGGGUGAAUAAAGAGACAGAGCACAGUGAUUAUCUUGCUCACUGGGGGAGCGGAACCUUCCUGGAAGUGACUUCAGCCAAUCAACUACAUUUGAAGCAUCAUGGUCAGUGGAAUGUUGGUAACGCAGCAGCCAAUAAUAGAAAAACAGCAAUAAGAUCAUGAGAUAAUUAACCAUUUUCAAACUCACUGAAUCAAAUGGAAUAUUGACUUUGCACCCAAAUAGUCCAUUGAAGCCUGUGGGACAGGUGUAUAUUUGCUGUUCCCCUGAAUAAUGCAAGAUUCCAGCCUGAUAGAUGGACUGUCUGCGUUGACCUCCAUUUUGCAGUUGUCCAAUAUUUUGUCAAGAUGCCCAGACCAAACCUUCAGUUUAUGUUUCCAGUACUUCCUGUGACACAAGCUCCAAUCAAGAUCAGAUCAGCCUCCACUGUCUAGUCAAGGAUUUCCAGCCCAGGAGCAUCCAACAGACAUGGUCCAGUGACAAUAGAGAGAUCACAACUGGAUUCAAUAAGUAUCCCACAGUCUUGGGGCAAAAUAUGAAGUACACGAUGAGCAGUGUGCUCAGUGUCUCUGCGUCGGAUUGGAAUGCGGGCAAGGUCUACCACUGCAAGGCGGGCUACAAGGCAAAUGAAAUGGUGGAAGCUGAGACCACAAAGCGUCAGCCUCAAUCUCCCCAUGUCUUCUCUGUUGUUCCAUCUUGGGAGAUGGUCUACAAUCAAACCACUGCUGCCCUGGGGUGCAUACUAUCUGGAUCCUAUCCUGACAUUGUCCAGGUUUCCUGGUUUAAAGCCGGAGUGCUCCAAUCGGGUGCCAAACUCCUCUCCAAAAAGGCAAAAGAUGGUACAUUUGAAACAGUCUCUUACCUGACUGUACAGGUGGCGGAUUGGAAGAACGGGGAUGAAUUCACUUGUGCAGUGUCCCAUGAGCCGACAAGCUUCAACACCAGGAUCAACAUGAAGUAUCGGGAGGAAAUGACUGUCUUUCUCCAAAAUCCUUUGGUGAAAGAGCUUUGGAUCAAUAAAACCGCCACCCUGGUGUGUACAGCAGUGUGUUCUGAUCCCAGCCAGGUACAGAUCACCUGGAAGGUAAAUCGGAGGCAGAGAAGCAAAGGGGUUACAGCUCAGAGAGACGAAGGCACCCAAUACGUCAUCAUCAGCCAACUCCAAACCACAGCACAGGAGUGGGAGAGUGGGGUGGAGUUUGUGUGUUCUGCUCAAAGUGGUCCCUCCUCCUCAUCAGUGUCAAAGCGGACAAGGAGCCUAAGAGUUCCACAAAAAAGUCCCGAGGUCAGACUGCUGCCUCCACCAGCCCAAGAGACCAAGAAUCAGAGCAACGUUACACUCGAGUGUGUGAUCACUGGAUUCUACCCAGACCUCAUACAGGUCUCCUGGGAGAAGGACAGCAGCCUGAUCUCCUCCAACACCCAUGCUGGCCUCACUGCUCUGGAGCAGACAGGGACAUUCAGUGUCAAGCACUACCUGACCGUGAGCACAGAGGAGUGGAGGAAAGGUUCAGUCUUCACCUGUGCAGUGUCUCAUCCACCGUCCAACUUUACCAGCAGGAAGGAGGUGAAGAAGGUCCAAGAUGAAUGUUUGGACACUGGAAUCUCAGUCACCUUAAGCAAGCCUCCAUUCGAAGAGAUCUGGAGGAAGAGAACAGCAACCAUUCUGUGUGAGGUACUUCAUGGUGAUUUAGAGGGAGUCAGGGUAACCUGGAAAGUGGAUGGAAUCAUGAGACAAGAUGGAGUGAAGACCCAGGGUCCCAAGAAGCAUGGAUAUAAAGAGAUCAUGUUCAGUAGACUGAAUGUCCCUGCUGCAGAAUGGGAGAGUGGAGUAGAGUACAUGUGUUUGGUGGAGGCCAAAAAUUUGCCAACGCCAGAGAAGAGGUUUAUCAGGAAAGCCCAAGUUGAGGUUAAGACUCACCCUCAAGUCUACCUCCUGGCCCCUUCACCGGUUGAGAUGGAGACUGCUCACACUGCGACCCUCGUUUGCCUGGUCACUGGAUUCUCUCCCGCAGAUAUCUACCUGGCUUGGAUGGCCAAUGAUACCCUUCUGAAGACAGGGUUCAUUCAUCAGCCAGUGACUGAGGAUGGCAGAGGAGGCUGGAACUCAGGCAGUCACUUGACCGUCUCUGCAGAGGAGUGGGACAGCGGCACCAUGUACUCCUGUGUGGUGGGACACGAGUCAGUCACAACAAAUGUGUUCAGAAGCAUGAAUAAAUCUCACAGCAAGCCCAACCUGGUUAAUGUCUCACUUGUUCUAACUGAAAGCUUUAACUCCUGUUCAUAACAUCUGGUUUAAACAAUCACCCAUUUAUAUAAGCCCUAUAAAUGUACAGUUAAAACAACUGAAAAACAGUUGUGAGCAUUUUGAAACCUCUCUUCUGGUAGCAAUUCACUUCAAACAUGAAUAAAAUCGAACGUUGCUCAGUACUUGAGAGAAAAAAAAUAAAUCUCCAAAUCAGCUAACAUUAUUUUGUCCAGAUGCCUGGGAUCCUCAGGUCCUUUGGAAACAUUUUUUUUGUGCUGCACCUGAUCAUGUGUGAAACAUGUGUGAAAACCCACAGAAUGUUAAUUGUUUGUCAAUGUACUGAUCAAAUUUCAAUAAACC